This 497-nucleotide ribosomal RNA is filed under the name uncultured bacterium. RNAcentral's name for it is "partial 16S ribosomal RNA". It matches the Rfam family "Bacterial small subunit ribosomal RNA", at positions 28 to 507 of the family's 1533-position model. The record is from RNAcentral.
GAUGAACGCUGGCGGCGUGCCUAAUACAUGCAAGUCGAGCGAACGGACGAGAAGCUUGCUUCUCUGAUGUUAGCGGCGGACGGGUGAGUAACACGUGGAUAACCUACCUAUAAGACUGGGAUAACUUCGGGAAACCGGAGCUAAUACCGGAUAAUAUUUUGAACCGCAUGGUUCAAAAGUGAAAGACGGUCUUGCGGUCACUUAUAGAUGGAUCCGCGCUGCAUUAGCUAGUUGGUAAGGUAACGGCUUACCAAGGCAACGAUGCAUAGCCGACCUGAGAGGGUGAUCGGCCACACUGGAACUGAGCCACGGUCCUGACUCCUACGGGCGGCAGCAGUAGGGAAUCUUCCGCACUGGGCGAAAGCCUGACGGAGCAGCGCCGCGUGAGUGAUGAAGGUCUUCGGAUCGUAAAACUCUGUUAUUAGGGAAGAACAUAUGUGUAAGUAACUGUGCACAUCUUGACGGUACCUAAUCAGAAAGCCCCGGCUAACUACGUG